CCUUUAGAGAUAGAGGCGUGCUCGAAAGAGAGCCGUAACACAGGUGCUGCAUGGCUGUCGUCAGCUCGUGUCGUGAGAUGUUGGGUUAAGUCCCGCAACGAGCGCAACCCUUGUCAUUAGUUGCUACAUUCAGUUGGGCACUCUAAUGAGACUGCCGGUGACAAGCCGGAGGAAGGUGGGGAUGACGUCAAGUCCUCAUGGCCCUUAUAGGUGGGGCUACACACGUCAUACAAUGGCUGGUACAAAGGGUUGCCAACCCGCGAGGGGGAGCUAAUCCCAUAAAGCCAGUCGUAGUCCGGAUCGUAGUCUGCAACUCGACUACGUGAAGUCGGAAUCGCUAGUAAUCGUGGAUCAGAAUGUCACGGUGAAUACGUUCCCGGGUCUU
RNAcentral lists this ribosomal RNA (385 nucleotides) under uncultured Rhodoferax sp. RNAcentral's name for it is "bacterial SSU rRNA". It matches the Rfam family "Bacterial small subunit ribosomal RNA", at positions 997 to 1382 of the family's 1533-position model. The record is from RNAcentral. Lineage: Bacteria; Pseudomonadati; Pseudomonadota; Betaproteobacteria; Burkholderiales; Comamonadaceae.